ACCUUGCAGGAUGAUGAUGUGAUCUCGUAUCUUCUCGCUGGUCUUGGUCCUGACUAUGAUCCCUUCGUUACCUCGAUGACUACCAAGAGUGAAGCUCUCACGCUUGAUAAUGUGUUUGCACAUCUAAUGGCUUUUGAAG
Molecule: small nucleolar RNA, 139 nt
Organism: Cucurbita maxima (winter squash)
Lineage: Eukaryota; Viridiplantae; Streptophyta; Magnoliopsida; Cucurbitales; Cucurbitaceae
Product: small nucleolar RNA Z247
Exons: 1
Source: RefSeq, a predicted model, not a curated record